AUACGGAGGGGGUUAGCGUUGUUCGGAAUUACUGGGCGUAAAGCGCACGUAGGCGGAUUAGUAAGUUAGAGGUGAAAUCCCAGGGCUCAACCCUGGAACUGCCUUUAAUACUGCUAGUCUUGAGUUCGAGAGAGGUAAGUGGAAUUCCUAGUGUAGAGGUGAAAUUCGUAGAUAUUAGGAGGAACACCAGUGGCGAAGGCGGCUUACUGGCUCGAUACUGACGCUGAGGUGCGAAAGCGUGGGGAGCAAACAGGAUUAGAAACCCGAGUAGUCC
This 274-nucleotide ribosomal RNA is filed under the name uncultured bacterium. RNAcentral describes it as "partial 16S ribosomal RNA". It matches the Rfam family "Bacterial small subunit ribosomal RNA", at positions 523 to 796 of the family's 1533-position model. The record is from RNAcentral.